GACGAACUUUGGCGGCGUGCUUAACACAUGCAAGUCGAACGGAAAGGCCCUGCUUUUGUGGGGUGCUCGAGUGGCGAACGGGUGAGUAACACGUGAGUAACCUGCCCUUGACUUUGGGAUAACUUCAGGAAACUGGGGCUAAUACCGGAUAGGAGCUCCUGCUGCAUGGUGGGGGUUGGAAAGUUUCGGCGGUUGGGGAUGGACUCGCGGCUUAUCAGCUUGUUGGUGGGGUAGUGGCUUACCAAGGCUUUGACGGGUAGCCGGCCUGAGAGGGUGACCGGCCACAUUGGGACUGAGAUACGGCCCAGACUCCUACGGGAGGCAGCAGUGGGGAAUAUUGCACAAUGGGCGGAAGCCUGAUGCAGCAACGCCGCGUGCGGGAUGACGGCCUUCGGGUCGUAAACCGCUUUCGCCUGUGACGAAGCGUGAGUGACGGUAAUGGGUAAAGAAGCACCGGCUAACUACGUGCCAGCAGCCGCGGUGAUACGUAGGGUGCGAGCGUUGUCCGGAUUUAUUGGGCGUAAAGGGCUCGUAGGUGGUUGAUCGCGUCGGAAGUGUAAUCUUGGGGCUUAACCCUGAGCGUGCUUUCGAUACGGGUUGACUUGAGGAAGGUAGGGGAGAAUGGAAUUCCUGGUGGAGCGGUGGAAUGCGCAGAUAUCAGGAGGAACACCAGUGGCGAAGGCGGUUCUCUGGGCCUUUCCUGACGCUGAGGAGCGAAAGCGUGGGGAGCGAACAGGCUUAGAUACCCUGGUAGUCCACGCUGUAAACGGUGGGUACUAGGUGUGGGGUCCAUUCCACGGGUUCCGUGCCGUAGCUAACGCUUUAAGUACCCCGCCUGGGGAGUACGGCCGCAAGGCUAAAACUCAAAGGAAUUGACGGGGCCCCGCACAAGCGGCGGAGCAUGCGGAUUAAUUCGAUGCAACGCGUAGAACCUUACCUGGGUUUGACAUGGAUCGGGAGUGCUCAGAGAUGGGUGUGCCUCUUUUGGGGUCGGUUCACAGGUGGUGCAUGGCUGUCGUCAGCUCGUGUCGUGAGAUGUUGGGUUAAGUCCCGCAACGAGCGCAACCCUUGUUCACUGUUGCCAGCACGUUAUGGUGGGGACUCAGUGGAGACCGCCGGGGUCAACUCGGAGGAAGGUGGGGAUGACGUCAAGUCAUCAUGCCCCUUAUGUCCAGGGCCUCACGCAUGCUACAAUGGCUGGUACAGAGAGUGGCGAGCCUGUGAGGGUGAGCGAAUCUCGGAAAGCCGGUCUCAGUUCGGAUUGGGGUCUGCAACUCGACCUCAUGAAGUCGGAGUCGCUAGUAAUCGCAGAUCAGCAACGCUGCGGUGAAUACGUUCCCGGGGCU
RNAcentral lists this ribosomal RNA (1346 nucleotides) under uncultured bacterium. RNAcentral describes it as "partial 16S ribosomal RNA". It matches the Rfam family "Bacterial small subunit ribosomal RNA", at positions 28 to 1381 of the family's 1533-position model. The record is from RNAcentral.